This 464-nucleotide ribosomal RNA is filed under the name uncultured bacterium. Its description in RNAcentral is "partial 16S ribosomal RNA". It matches the Rfam family "Bacterial small subunit ribosomal RNA", at positions 29 to 507 of the family's 1533-position model. The record is from RNAcentral.
ACGAACGCUGGCGGCGUGCUUAACACAUGCAAGUCGAACGGAAAGGCCCUGCUUGCCGGGUACUCGAGUGGCGAACGGGUGAGUAACACGUGGGUGAUCUGCCCUGCACUUCGGGAUAAGCCUGGGAAACUGGGUCUAAUACCGGAUAUGACCUUCCAUGUAGUGUGGGGGGUGGAAAGAUUUAUCGGUGUGGGAUGAGCCCGCGGCCUAUCAGCUUGUUGGUGGGGUAAUGGCCUACCAAGGCGUCGACGGGUAGCCGGCCUGAGAGGGUGGACGGCCACAUUGGGACUGAGAUACGGCCCAGACUCCUACGGGAGGCAGCAGUGGGGAAUAUUGCACAAUGGGCGGAAGCCUGAUGCAGCGACGCCGCGUGGGGGAUGACGGCCUUCGGGUUGUAAACCUCUUUCGACAGGGACGAAGCUUCGGUGACGGUACCUGUAUAAGAAGCACCGGCUAACUACGUG